RNAcentral lists this ribosomal RNA (353 nucleotides) under uncultured bacterium. RNAcentral's name for it is "bacterial SSU rRNA". It matches the Rfam family "Bacterial small subunit ribosomal RNA", at positions 8 to 349 of the family's 1533-position model. The record is from RNAcentral.
AGAGUUUGAUCAUGGCUCAGGAUGAACGCUAGCUACAGGCUUAACACAUGCAAGUCAAGGGGAAACGAUAUUGGAAGCUUGCUUCCGAUAGGCGUCGACCGGCGCACGGGUGAGUAACGUGUAUCCAACCUGCCCACCACUUGGGGAUAACCUUGCGAAAGUAAGGCUAAUACCCAAUGAUAUCUCUAGAAGACAUCUGAAAGAGAUUAAAGAUUUAUCGGUGAUGGAUGGGGAUGCGUCUGAUUAGCUUGUUGGCGGGGUAACGGCCACAAGGCGACGAUCGAGUAGGGGUUCUGAGAGGAACGGUCCCCCACAUUGGAACUGAGACACGGUCCAAACUCCGUACGGGAGCA